This 290-nucleotide unclassified non-coding RNA is filed under the name fungal sp. Its description in RNAcentral is "partial internal transcribed spacer region". The stretch from base 1 to 46 matches the Rfam family "Eukaryotic small subunit ribosomal RNA", at positions 1786 to 1831 of the family's 1831-position model. The record is from RNAcentral. Lineage: Eukaryota; Fungi.
AAGUCGUAACAAGGUUUCCGUAGGUGAACCUGCGGAAGGAUCAUUAAUGAAUGAUAAUUUUUUGGGGUUUUCCCUGAAAAAUAAUUCACCUUUUGUGCAUUGUUAUUAGAUAUACUUUGGUCAGAGCUUUGAUUUCAUUUUUUGAAAUAAACUUCUUGCUGACUCUAUCCUUUCUGAGGACAGUUGGCUAUGAAGCGGCCUACCAGGGUUUUUAUCAAACUCUUGUAUUUUGUCUGACCUGUAAACAAAUAAUUAAAUCAUAACUUUCAACAACGGAUCUCUUGGCUCUC